UUUUAGUAUGUGACACGGAUUAAUUUAAUAUCACUAUAUUAAUCGGUGGUAUAUAACCUUGAAGAUACCAUGGAAUUGUAAGGAUUUACCCACAAAUCGAUGGACUUCCAGUUACCACGACAAAUAUUAAUAUGUUAAACUGUAUCGCUGGUGUUGGGAAAAUUACUACUUAAAAAAAUAAGAAAUCUAGAAUGGCCGAAAGAACUGAUACAAAGACGAUGCCGCGUUUGUGGUUUGUCGUGCAAGACGAAUAUUGAAAAAUAAAAAUAGUCAGCAAUUCAGCAUUCAAUAAAAGUCAACACUCAACAAUAAUAUUCAUUAACACGGUCUUUGAUAACAACAUUAGUUAUUAUUUAUUAUAUCCAUGAGCAUUACUCAUUAGAGUUCAUGAUUAUAUGUGAACAUGGUACAUCAUAGAUAUAUAUUAUGAUUAUAUUAAAAAAUGUAUUAAUUAGAAAUUACAAAUAAAUGACAAAUGCACCGUCUGGCGGGUCGCGAGGCGAGAACCACAGAUCACAGACGCUGACGCUGUGAAUAAUUUUCGAGACCAGUGUAACCGUUAAUAAAAAUCAAAUAUCCCGGCCAAUUCCGGUGUAAUUAAACAGAAUAUAACUAUAAGCAAAAAAACACGAGACGAAAUCAUCAUCCAUUGUGUCCACAAUAUAAAAUAUACGAG
Molecule: long non-coding RNA, 676 nt
Organism: Myzus persicae (green peach aphid)
Lineage: Eukaryota; Metazoa; Arthropoda; Insecta; Hemiptera; Aphididae
Exons: 2
Source: RefSeq, a predicted model, not a curated record